Oreochromis aureus is the source of this 718-nucleotide long non-coding RNA. NCBI's taxonomy places the organism in Eukaryota, Metazoa, Chordata, Actinopteri, Cichliformes, Cichlidae. The record is from Ensembl.
UUUAGACUUUUAACGAACGACUCAGAGAGACAGAUCCGAGCAAAACAGUGCAUGAACAAGACAAAACAAUUAAGAGAGGCGUAGCAUCUUAGACAAUAGUUCCUGAUAACAGCGUACAAUUUGUAAUCAAUUACCUGACGAUCCAUUGGUGUGAGCAUGGAACAAGAGACUUAAUGUUUGGCCAGUCAAAGCAUACCAAGAGUUGGUAAGCUACCAAGACAAGUGAUUAUCUUGGCUUGUUAAAUAAGGUUAAUUCACUGUCUAAUGGUCCUGGGAACUGAUGAACCAUUUGAUGUUAAAGGGUAAUUGCCUAUGUCUGAGUGGUGUUGUGUGUGGCGGGGAAAACCAGGAGACUUUGUGUGUCGAGAUAGAGAGAGCAUCGCCCUCAGAAGCGUGGAUGUGUCAACAUACUGUCAGAGAAGAUUACAGGCAUCAUUAAAAUAUUCACUCUGUGACCUUAAAGCGAUGCUUCCCACCUCCGCUUGGAUUAAUCAGUACAUACCGAAGUUUCUAUACUGCCUGGAUUACUACAGUUCGGUGUGUCUGGUCUAUCAUUACGCUUCAUCUGGUGUCACCUGGCACCUGAAAACCAGCAUUACUUCUAUGGCAGGCCUCAUGUCAUCACAAGUUGUCCACCACGACUUGCCUGUGUAAGAACACCAAGCGGAGAGCAAACCAAGGCCAAACAUGUCAUCAAAAGCUCCCAUUGAUCCCAACC